CAGAGUUGCAAAACUCCACAAACCAUCGCGAAUCUUACCCGUACGGUUGCCUCGGCGCUGGCGGUCCGGAAGGCCCUCGGGCCCCCCGGAUCCUCGGGUCUCCCGCUCGCGGGAGGCUGCCCGCCGGAGUGCCGAAACCAAACUCUUGAUAUUUUAUGUCUCUCUGAGUAAACUUUUAAAUAAGUCA
This 187-nucleotide unclassified non-coding RNA is filed under the name soil metagenome. Its description in RNAcentral is "partial internal transcribed spacer 1". The record is from RNAcentral.